Molecule: ribosomal RNA, 253 nt
Filed under: uncultured bacterium
Lineage: Bacteria
Description: partial 16S ribosomal RNA
Rfam family: Bacterial small subunit ribosomal RNA
Source: RNAcentral
UACGUGGGGAGCAAGCGUUGUUCGGAUUUACUGGGCGUAAAGGGCGCGUAGGCGGUAGCACAAGUCAGUUGUGAAAUCUCCGGGCUUAACUCGGAAAGGUCAACUGAUACUGUGCGACUAGAGUGCAGAAGGGGCAACUGGAAUUCUCGGUGUAGCGGUGAAAUGCGUAGAUAUCGAGAGGAACACCUGCGGCGAAGGCGGGUUGCUGGGCUGACACUGACGCUGAGGCGCGAAAGCCAGGGGAGCGAACGGG